Molecule: unclassified non-coding RNA, 332 nt
Filed under: soil metagenome
Description: partial contains 5.8S ribosomal RNA, internal transcribed spacer 2, and large subunit ribosomal RNA
Rfam family: 5.8S ribosomal RNA (bases 1-120)
Source: RNAcentral
GAUGAAGAACGCAGCGAAAUGCGAUAAGUAGUGUGAAUUGCAGAAUUCAGUGAAUCAUCGAAUCUUUGAACGCACAUUGCGCCCCUCGGUAUUCCGUGGGGCAUGCCUGUUCGAGCGUCAUUUACCCCUCAAGCACUGCUUGGUGUUGGGCGUCUGUCCCGCUUCGCGCGCGGACUCGCCCCAAAGGUAUUGGCAGCGGUCGUGCCAGCUUCUCGCGCAGCACAUUGCGCUUCUCGAGGCGGUCGAUCGGCGUCCACGAAGCUCACCUCCACCGUUUGACCUCGGAUCAGGUAGGGAUACCCGCUGAACUUAAGCAUAUCAUAAGCGGAGGA